GAAGUGCGAUAAGCAAUGCGAAUUGCAGAAUUCCGCGAGUCAUCAGAUCUUUGAACGCAAAUGGCGCCGGAGGGAUAUCCUUCUGGCAUGUCUGUUUCAGUGUCUGAGAGGUUUCAUCAACAUCUUAAUGUGAUUGACGGCAGCUACAGCAGCAGCUCUUGUAGUUGUUAUUGUUGCUGGCGUCUCUCAUGAAAGAUGCGCGAGUGGAUCUUUCGGUCCAAUGAAGUGGUCACAUCACACGCAUGUGAUUUCAUUGGGAGCACCGAAUUAUCCGCCAUGCUCGCGGUCUCAUUGUAGAUGGCUCAUUACCAUCUCUUUUUCUCUCUACACCCUGCAUCUGAGAUAGGCAAGAUCACCCGCUGAACUUAA
This 369-nucleotide unclassified non-coding RNA is filed under the name uncultured fungus. Its description in RNAcentral is "sequence contains ITS1". The stretch from base 1 to 105 matches the Rfam family "5.8S ribosomal RNA", at positions 50 to 154 of the family's 154-position model. The record is from RNAcentral. Lineage: Eukaryota; Fungi.